AAUCCAUUAUGUGAACAUUUCUUUCACAGUUCUUUGAAUCUCUCCCAAGCAUCAAACAAGGAUUCAUCAUCCUUUUGAUGGAAGCAAGUGUCCUCAACUCUUAUCUU
Molecule: small nucleolar RNA, 107 nt
Organism: Abrus precatorius (Indian licorice)
Lineage: Eukaryota; Viridiplantae; Streptophyta; Magnoliopsida; Fabales; Fabaceae
Source: RefSeq, a predicted model, not a curated record